Molecule: ribosomal RNA, 405 nt
Filed under: Isoptericola sp. J2095c
Lineage: Bacteria; Bacillati; Actinomycetota; Actinomycetes; Micrococcales; Promicromonosporaceae
Description: partial 16S ribosomal RNA
Rfam family: Bacterial small subunit ribosomal RNA
Source: RNAcentral
GGAGGGUGUAGGAAAGUUUUUCGGUGGGGGAUGGGCUCGCGGCNUAUCAGCUUGUUGGUGGGGUGAUGGCCUACCAAGGCGUCGACGGGUAGCCGGCCNGAGAGGGCGACCGGCCACACUGGGACNGAGACACGGCCCANACUCCUACGGGAGGCAGCAGUGGGGAAUAUUGCACAAUGGGCGAAAGCCNGAUGCANCGACGCCGCGUGAGGGANGACGGCCUUCGGGUUGUAAACCUCUUUCAGCNGGGAAGAAGGCCUUCGGGUGGACGGUACCUGCAGAAGAAGCGCCGGCUAACUACGUGCCGCAGCCGCGGUAAUACGUAGGGCGCAAGCGUUGUCCGGAAUUANUGGGCGUAAANAGCUCGUAGGCGGUUUGUCACGUCUGGUGUNAAAUCCCGAGGCU